GCGGAUGGCUGGAUGGCCGCGUCUGGCAACAGGCGAGGAAAGUCCGGACUCCACAAAACGACGGUGCCGGGUAACGCCCGGCCGGGGAAACCCGAGGGAAAGCGCCACAGAAAACAGACCGCCUGUGCAUGCACAGGUAAGGGUGAAACGGUGGGGUAAGAGCCCACCGCGGCCUUGGCAACAAGGACGGCACGGCAAGCCCCACCGGGAGCAAUGCCAAAUAGGAACCUCGCGGGCGUAUGCCCAGAGCUGUUUUGGCUCGGAAGGUUCGGGUUGGCAGCUAGAGCCUGUUGGUAACAGCAGGCGCAGAGGAAUGGUCAUCCAUCGGCGGGGCAACUUGCCGUGGACAAAAUCCGGCUUAUAGGCCRUCCGCGCGU
RNAcentral lists this RNase P RNA (377 nucleotides) under Marinosulfonomonas sp. Its description in RNAcentral is "RNase P RNA component class A". It matches the Rfam family "Bacterial RNase P class A". Rfam says of the family: Ribonuclease P (RNase P) is a ubiquitous endoribonuclease, found in archaea, bacteria and eukarya as well as chloroplasts and mitochondria. Its best characterised activity is the generation of mature 5'-ends of tRNAs by cleaving the 5'-leader elements of precursor-tRNAs. Lineage: Bacteria; Pseudomonadati; Pseudomonadota; Alphaproteobacteria; Rhodobacterales; Paracoccaceae. The record is from RNAcentral.